Molecule: ribosomal RNA, 207 nt
Filed under: uncultured bacterium
Lineage: Bacteria
Description: partial 16S ribosomal RNA
Rfam family: Bacterial small subunit ribosomal RNA
Source: RNAcentral
CACGUAGGCGGCUUGGCAAGUCGGAUGUGAAAUCCCUCGGCUCAACCGGGAGGGUGCGCCGAAAACUGGAGGGCUAGAGUGCGGGAAGGGAGAGUGGAAUUCCUGGUGUAGCGGUGAAAUGCGUAGAUAUCAGGAGGAACACCGGUGGUGUAGACGGCUCUCUGGACCGCGACUGACGCUGAGACACGAAAGCGUGGGUAGCAAACA